GAUGAUGAACGUAGCGAAAUGCGAUAAGUAAUGUGAAUUGCAGAAUUCAGUGAAUCAUCGAAUCUUUGAACGCACAUUGCGCCCGCCAGUAUUCUGGCGGGCAUGCCUGUUCGAGCGUCAUUUCAACCAUCAAGCCCCAGGCUUGUGUUGGGGACCUGCGGCUGCCGCAGGCCCUGAAAACCAGUGGCGGGCUCGCUGUCACACCGGGCGUAGUAGAUUUUAUCUCGCUCAGGGCGUGCUGCGGGUUCCGGCCGUUAAAAAGCCUUUUUUACCCAAGGUUGACCUCGGAUCAGGUAGGAAGACCCGCUGAACUUAAGCAUAUCAAUAAGCGGAGGA
This 336-nucleotide unclassified non-coding RNA is filed under the name soil metagenome. Its description in RNAcentral is "partial contains 5.8S ribosomal RNA, internal transcribed spacer 2, and large subunit ribosomal RNA". The stretch from base 1 to 120 matches the Rfam family "5.8S ribosomal RNA", at positions 35 to 154 of the family's 154-position model. The record is from RNAcentral.